UUAACAAAUUGGAUCUGUCACCUGUCACC
RNAcentral lists this non-coding RNA (29 nucleotides) under Cricetulus griseus (Chinese hamster). Lineage: Eukaryota; Metazoa; Chordata; Mammalia; Rodentia; Cricetidae. The record is from RNAcentral.